Molecule: transfer RNA, 77 nt
Filed under: Alphaproteobacteria bacterium
Lineage: Bacteria; Pseudomonadati; Pseudomonadota; Alphaproteobacteria
Description: tRNA-Arg
Rfam family: tRNA
About the family: Transfer RNA (tRNA) molecules are approximately 80 nucleotides in length. Their secondary structure includes four short double-helical elements and three loops (D, anti-codon, and T loops).
Source: RNAcentral
GCACCCGUAGCUCAAUUGGAUAGAGCGCCAGACUACGAAUCUGGAGGCUAGAGGUUCGAGUCCUCUCGGGUGCACCA